GACGAACGCUGGCGGCGUGCCUAAUACAUGCAAGUUGAGCGCUGAAGGUUGGUACUUGUACCGACUGGAUGAGCAGCGAACGGGUGAGUAACGCGUGGGGAAUCUGCCUUUGAGCGGGGGACAACAUUUGGAAACGAAUGCUAAUACCGCAUAAAAACUUUAAACACAAGUUUUAAGUUUGAAAGAUGCAAUUGCAUCACUCAAAGAUGAUCCCGCGUUGUAUUAGCUAGUUGGUGAGGUAAAGGCUCACCAAGGCGAUGAUACAUAGCCGACCUGAGAGGGUGAUCGGCCACAUUGGGACUGAGACACGGCCCAAACGCCUACGGGAGGCAGCAGGAGGGAAUCUUCGGCAAUGGACGAAAGUCUGACCGAGCAACGCCGCGUGAGUGAAGAAGGUUUUCGGAUCGUAAAACUCUGUUGGUAGAGAAGAACGUUGGUGAGAGUGGAAAGCUCAUCAAGUGACGGUAACUACCCAGAAAGGGACGGCUAACUACGUG
RNAcentral lists this ribosomal RNA (497 nucleotides) under uncultured bacterium. Its description in RNAcentral is "partial 16S ribosomal RNA". It matches the Rfam family "Bacterial small subunit ribosomal RNA", at positions 28 to 507 of the family's 1533-position model. The record is from RNAcentral.